GACGAACGCUGGCGGCGUGCUUAACACAUGCAAGUCGAACGGAAAGGCCUCUUUCGGGGGGUACUCGAGUGGCGAACGGGUGAGUAACACGUGAGUAACCUGCCCUUGACUUUGGGAUAACUUCAGGAAACCGGGGCUAAUACCGGAUAGGAGCUCCUGCUGCAUGGUGGGGGUUGGAAAGUUUCGGCGGUUGGGGAUGGACUCGCGGCUUAUCAGCUUGUUGGUGGGGUAGUGGCUUACCAAGGCUUUGACGGGUAGCCGGCCUGAGAGGGUGACCGGCCACAUUGGGACUGAGAUACGGCCCAGACUCCUACGGGAGGCAGCAGUGGGGAAUAUUGCACAAUGGGUGGAAGCCUGAUGCAGCAACGCCGUGUGCGGGAUGACGGCCUUCGGGUUGUAAACCGCUUUCGCUCAUGACGAAGCUUUGUGUGACGGUAGUGGGUAAAGAAGCACCGGCUAACUACGUG
RNAcentral lists this ribosomal RNA (467 nucleotides) under uncultured bacterium. Its description in RNAcentral is "partial 16S ribosomal RNA". It matches the Rfam family "Bacterial small subunit ribosomal RNA", at positions 28 to 507 of the family's 1533-position model. The record is from RNAcentral.